AUUGAACGCUGGCGGCAUGCCUUACACAUGCAAGUCGAACGGUAACAGGUCUUCGGAUGCUGACGAGUGGCGAACGGGUGAGUAAUACAUCGGAACGUGCCCGAUCGUGGGGGAUAACGAAGCGAAAGCUUUGCUAAUACCGCAUACGAUCUACGGAUGAAAGCAGGGGACCGCAAGGCCUUGCGCGAACGGAGCGGCCGAUGGCAGAUUAGGUAGUUGGUGGGAUAAAAGCUUACCAAGCCGACGAUCUGUAGCUGGUCUGAGAGGACGGCCAGCCACACUGGGACUGAGACACGGCCCAGACUCCUACGGGAGGCAGCAGUGGGGAAUUUUGGACAAUGGGCGAAAGCCUGAUCCAGCCAUGCCGCGUGCAGGAUGAAGGCCUUCGGGUUGUAAACUGCUUUUGUACGGAACGAAAAGACUCUGGUUAAUACCUGGGGUCCAUGACGGUACCGUAAGAAUAAGCACCGGCUAACUACGU
RNAcentral lists this ribosomal RNA (481 nucleotides) under uncultured bacterium. RNAcentral's name for it is "partial 16S ribosomal RNA". It matches the Rfam family "Bacterial small subunit ribosomal RNA", at positions 30 to 506 of the family's 1533-position model. The record is from RNAcentral.